AUUAAACGCUGGCGGCAAGCCUAACACAUGCAAGUCGAGCGGCAACAGAAAAAGUUAAUCUUUUUUGCUGGCAAGCGGCGGACGGGUGAGUAAUAUCUGGGGAUCUACCUUAUGGAGGGGGAUAACUAUUGGAAACGAUAGCUAAUACCGCAUAAUGUCCUAAGACCAAAGUGGGGGACCUGAUGGCCUCACACCAUAAGAUGAACCUAGAUGAGAUUAGCUAGUAGGUAAGGUAAUGGCUUACCUAGGCAAUGAUCUCUAGCUGGUCUGAGAGGAUGGUCAGCCACACUGGAACUGAGAUACGGUCCAGACUCCUACGGGAGGCAGCAGUGGGGAAUAUUGCACAAUGGGGGAAACCCUGAUGCAGCUAUGCCGCGUGUGUGAAGAAGGCCUUAGGGUUGUAAAGCACUUUCAACGGGGAAGAACAAAAAAACGCAAAUAACGUUUUUUUUUGACGUUACCCGUAAAAGAAGCACCGGCUAACUCCGUGCCAGCAGCCGCGGUAAUACGGAGGGUGCUAGCGUUAAUCGGAAUUACUGGGCGUAAAGAGUAUAUAGGCGGCUUAUUAAGUCAGAUGUGAAAUCCCUGGGCUUAACCUAGGAACUGCAUUUGAAACUGGUAGGCUAGAGUUUUGUAGAGGGGGGUAGAAUUUCAGGUGUAGCGGUGAAAUGCGUAGAUAUCUGGAGGAAUACCAAUGGCGAAGGCAGCCCCCUGGACAAUAACUGACGCUUAAGUACGAAAGCAUGGGGAGCAAACAGGAUUAGAUACCCUGGUAGUCCAUGCUGUAAACUAUGUCGAUUUGAAGGUUGUAACCUUGAGUUAUAGCUUUCGAAGCUAACGCAUUAAAUCGACCGCCUGGGGAGUACGACCGCAAGGUUAAAACUCAAAUGAAUUGACGGGGGCCCGCACAAGCGGUGGAGCAUGUGGUUUAAUUCGAUGCAACGCGAAAAACCUUACCUACUCUUGACAUCCAGAGAAUUAAGCAGAAAUACUUAAGUGCCUUUUAGGAACUCUGAGACAGGUGCUGCAUGGCUGUCGUCAGCUCGUGUUGUGAAAUGUUGGGUUAAGUCCCGCAACGAGCGCAACCCUUAUCCUUUGUUGCCAGCGAUACGGUCGGGAACUCAAAGGAGACUGCCAGUUAUAAACUGGAGGAAGGUAAGGACAACGUCAAGUCAUCAUGGCCUUUACGAGUAGGGCUACACACGUGCUACAAUGGUGCAUACAAAAAGAAGCAAACUUGCAAAAGUAAGCAAAACUUAUAAAGUGCGUCUUAGUCCGGAUUGGAGUCUGCAAUUCGACUCCAUGAAGUCGGAAUCGCUAGUAAUCGUGGAUCAGCAUGCCACGGUGAAUACGUUCCCGGGCCUUGUACACACCGCCCGUCACACCAUGGGAGUGGGUUGCAAAAGAAGUAGGUAGCUUAACCUUAAGGAAAGCGCUUACCACUUUGUGGUUCAUAACUGGGGUG
RNAcentral lists this ribosomal RNA (1465 nucleotides) under gamma-symbiont of Antonina crawii. RNAcentral's name for it is "bacterial SSU rRNA". It matches the Rfam family "Bacterial small subunit ribosomal RNA". Lineage: Bacteria; Pseudomonadati; Pseudomonadota; Gammaproteobacteria. The record is from RNAcentral.